GACGAACGCUGGCGGCGUGCUUAACACAUGCAAGUCGAACGGAAAGGCCCUGCUUUUGUGGGGUGCUCGAGUGGCGAACGGGUGAGUAACACGUGAGUAACCUGCCCUUGACUUUGGGAUAACUUCAGGAAACUGGGGCUAAUACCGGAUAGGAGCUCCUGCUGCAUGGUGGGGGUUGGAAAGUUUCGGCGGUUGGGGAUGGACUCGCGGCUUAUCAGCUUGUUGGUGGGCGAGUGGCUUACCAAGGCUUUGACGGGUAGCCGGCCUGAGAGGGUGACCGGCCACAUUGGGACUGAGAUACGGCCCAGACUCCUACGGGAGGCAGCAGUGGGGAAUAUUGCACAAUGGGCGGAAGCCUGAUGCAGCAACGCCGCGUGCGGGAUGACGGCCUUCGGGUUGUAAACCGCUUUCGCCUGUGACGAAGCGUGAGUGACGGUAAUGGGUACAGAAGCACCGGCUAACUACGUG
RNAcentral lists this ribosomal RNA (468 nucleotides) under uncultured bacterium. RNAcentral describes it as "partial 16S ribosomal RNA". It matches the Rfam family "Bacterial small subunit ribosomal RNA", at positions 28 to 507 of the family's 1533-position model. The record is from RNAcentral.